Molecule: non-coding RNA, 22 nt
Filed under: Arabidopsis thaliana (thale cress)
Lineage: Eukaryota; Viridiplantae; Streptophyta; Magnoliopsida; Brassicales; Brassicaceae
Source: RNAcentral
GCAAAAAGGUAUAACAUGGUCA